RNAcentral lists this ribosomal RNA (282 nucleotides) under uncultured prokaryote. RNAcentral's name for it is "partial 16S ribosomal RNA". It matches the Rfam family "Bacterial small subunit ribosomal RNA", at positions 524 to 803 of the family's 1533-position model. The record is from RNAcentral.
AACGUAGGAGGCGAGCGUUAUCCGGAUUUACUGAGCGUAAAGGGCAAGUAGGCGGUGGCCAAAGUUGGGCGUGACAUCUCCCGGCUCAACUGGGAGGGGUCGUUCAAAACUAGGUCACUAGAGGGCAGGAGAGGGAAGCGGAAUUCCUAGUGUAGCGGUGGAAUGCUCAGAUAUUAGGAAGAACACCAGUGGCGAAGGCGGCUUCCUGGCCUGUACCUGACGCUGGGAGGCGAAAGCUAGGGUAGCAAACGGGAUUAGAUACCUGCGUAGUCCCUGAGCGGG